UCCGGUUUAUCACCGGCAGUCUCCUUUGAGUUCCCGACCGAAUCGCUGGCAACAAAGGAUAAGGGUUGCGCUCGUUGCGGGACUUAACCCAACAUUUCACAACACGAGCUGACGACAGCCAUGCAGCACCUGUCUCAUACUGCCCUAAGGCACCCCCGUAUCUCUACAGGGUUAUAUGGAUGUCAAGAGUAGGUAAGGUUCUUCGCGUUGCAUCGAAUUAAACCACAUGCUCCACCGCUUGUGCGGGCCCCCGUCAAUUCAUUUGAGUUUUAACCUUGCGGCCGUACUCCCCAGGCGGUCGAUUUAACGCGUUAGCUCCGGACGUCACAGCGCUAGGCCACAACCUCCAAAUCGACAUCGUUUACAGCGUGGACUAC
RNAcentral lists this unclassified non-coding RNA (377 nucleotides) under uncultured Enterobacteriaceae bacterium. RNAcentral describes it as "contains 16S-23S intergenic spacer region". The record is from RNAcentral. Lineage: Bacteria; Pseudomonadati; Pseudomonadota; Gammaproteobacteria; Enterobacterales; Enterobacteriaceae.